GUGACGUUGGCAGAAGGAACGUGACAUGGUUGUAUUGUUGUUUGCGUUCGUUGACUACUGCGCACCUUGCGACGCCACACCAUUGACGUUGCUGAAGCAGUAGCUGCGUCGUAAUUUUCGAACUCGGGGGCCAUCAAAGCACAUGCGCACAAAGUAGCUAUAGCAGUUCAUAAUUCAGCAGAAAUCUGCUUCAGUGCACUUGCAUCGCAAAAGGAGCUGUUCCAACUUUCAGCUGUUCAACCAGAGACCUCUUCAAACUGGUGGACACAUUCUUUCUCAUUUGAAUUGUCAAAGUUGACUCCCAGUAAUCUAAUGCCUUUGCUGUUCAACAACCGAUAACCACUUCAACUGCUGUGAGUGUGAAAUCGGUGAAUGAAGUCAAGGAGGGACUGGGAGGUGUGACAGCUGAUGGGGAUCAACAGCAAUGAGGAGUGGAGAACGUGAAGGAUGAGAAGUCGGCUGUUGUGGAGGACAAAGCAGCAGCAUUGGUUGCUAUCAGACCGUCUGUUCGUGCUUCUACCAACUUGGAUCAAGCACAGGACACAGAGACGCCAAAUUUCCUUGGAGUUGUAAAGGAAGGGAUGACAUCUGACAUGUGCUUUAGGAGCAUCUUCUUCUGCGUGCAGUUUGGCAUGGGAAUGGUCUGCUAACCACAUAAAUCAGGAAUUGAGUAUAGCAAUUGAGUUUUAGAGCAGCAGUUGAAAAAAUUCUUGGACAUGUGAAGAAGAUUGCAUAUAUUUGGAAGGUUGGAUCAAUGAAUGGCAUGUCAAAGUAGUGUCCAGUAAAUCAUGCCACUAUUCAAG
This is a long non-coding RNA of Corticium candelabrum, 803 nucleotides long. RefSeq lists it as uncharacterized. The transcript is spliced from 6 exons. The record is from RefSeq and is a predicted model, not a curated record. NCBI's taxonomy places the organism in Eukaryota, Metazoa, Porifera, Homoscleromorpha, Homosclerophorida, Plakinidae.